Molecule: ribosomal RNA, 491 nt
Filed under: uncultured bacterium
Lineage: Bacteria
Description: partial 16S ribosomal RNA
Rfam family: Bacterial small subunit ribosomal RNA
Source: RNAcentral
AGUGAACGCUGGCGGUAGGCCUAACACAUGCAAGUCGAACGGCAGCACAGUAAGAGCUUGCUCUUACGGGUGGCGAGUGGCGGACGGGUGAGGAAUACAUCGGAAUCUACUUUUUCGUGGGGGAUAACGUAGGGAAACUUACGCUAAUACCGCAUACGACCUACGGGUGAAAGCAGGGGAUCUUCGGACCUUGCGCGAUUGAAUGAGCCGAUGUCGGAUUAGCUAGUUGGCGGGGUAAAGGCCCACCAAGGCGACGAUCCGUAGCUGGUCUGAGAGGAUGAUAGCCACACUGGAACUGAGACACGGUCCAGACUCCUACGGGAGGCAGCAGUGGGGAAUAUUGGACAAAGGGCGCAAGCCUGAUCCAGCCAUACCGCGUGGGUGAAGAAGGCCUUCGGGUUGUAAAGCCCUUUUGUUGGGAAAGAAAAGCAGCAGGUUAAUACCCCGCUGUUCUGACGGUACCCAAAGAAUAAGCACCGGCUAACUUCGUG